This 117-nucleotide non-coding RNA is filed under the name Desulfoscipio gibsoniae. RNAcentral's name for it is "Desulfotomaculum gibsoniae MoCo sequence". It matches the Rfam family "Molybdenum/Tungsten riboswitch aptamer (Moco RNA motif)". The record is from RNAcentral. Lineage: Bacteria; Bacillati; Bacillota; Clostridia; Eubacteriales; Desulfallaceae. RNAcentral also lists the same sequence under 1 other name.
AAAAUAUUUUUGCUCCGAACCGCCUCGCCUAAGUUCAGCGAUAUGGUGAACGGUCAAUAGGGUGUAAUUGGAAACGAUUAUGCCUUCCUUUUGAAAAGGAGCACAGCUUAUUAAGGU